UACAGAGGUCUCAAGCGUUGUUCGGAUUUAUUGGGCGUAAAGAGCGUGUAGGCGGCCAGGUAGGUCUGCUGUGAAAACUCGAGGCUCAACCUCGAGAUGUCGGCGGAAACCAUCUGGCUAGAGUUCGGAAGAGGCGAGUGGAAUUCCCGGUGUAGCGGUGAAAUGCGCAGAUAUCGGGAGGAACACCUAUGGCGAAGGCAGCUCGCUGGGACGUUACUGACGCUGAGACGCGAAAGCGUGGGGAGCAAACAGG
RNAcentral lists this ribosomal RNA (253 nucleotides) under uncultured bacterium. RNAcentral's name for it is "partial 16S ribosomal RNA". It matches the Rfam family "Bacterial small subunit ribosomal RNA", at positions 524 to 776 of the family's 1533-position model. The record is from RNAcentral.